CCUACGGGGGGCAGCAGUGAGGAAUAUUGGUCAAUGGGCGCGAGCCUGAACCAGCCAAGUAGCGUGAAGGAUGACUGCCCUACGGGUUGUAAACUUCUUUUAUAAAGGAAUACAGUGAGGCACGUGUGCCUUUUUGUAUGUACUUUAUGAAUAAGGAUCGGCUAACUCCGUGCCAGCAGCCGCGGUAAUACGGAGGAUACGAGCGUUAUCCGGAUUUAUUGGGUUUAAAGGGAGCGUAGAUGGGUUGUUAAGUCAGUUGUGAAAGUUUGCGGCGCAACCGUAAAAUUGCAAUUGAUACUGGCAGCCUUGAGUACAGUUGAGGUAGGCGGAAUUCGUGGUGUAGCGGUGAAAUGCUUAGAUAUCACGAAGAACUCCGAUUGCGAAGGCAGCUUACUAAACUGCCACUGACAUUGAUGCUCGAAAGUGUGGGUAUCAAACAGGAUUAGAUACCCUUGUAAGUC
This 461-nucleotide ribosomal RNA is filed under the name uncultured bacterium. RNAcentral describes it as "partial 16S ribosomal RNA". It matches the Rfam family "Bacterial small subunit ribosomal RNA", at positions 338 to 795 of the family's 1533-position model. The record is from RNAcentral.